AAACGAUAAAGGCAAACUUGCCGAAAGGUGAGGACGCAAAACCGCGGGUCUAAGGCUUCUGUUAAUCAGAAGCUACGAUAGCCGGGUUGUCGCA
This 94-nucleotide non-coding RNA is filed under the name Paenibacillus wynnii. RNAcentral's name for it is "c-di-GMP sequence". It matches the Rfam family "c-di-GMP-I riboswitch aptamer". Rfam says of the family: GEMM was predicted in a large-scale screen for bacterial structured RNA regulatory elements. Genes associated with GEMM are involved in a diverse array of functions, including chemotaxis regulation, signal transduction, secretion and chitin. Lineage: Bacteria; Bacillati; Bacillota; Bacilli; Caryophanales; Paenibacillaceae. The record is from Rfam by way of RNAcentral.